AGGCCAGGCCAAAGCCCUGCUCCAGCCCAGCUCUGCCAAGUGCCCUGGGCUGGGAGCAGCCAAAGGCAAGAGGCUGCAGCCCCGCCGGCCGGGCUGGGGGCUCCUGGUGCUGCCCGUGGGGUGGGGUGUGCCCAGGACGCUGCUAAUGCCCAGGGAUCUGCUCUGGGUCCAGGCUGUCCGUGCUGGAGGGCCCUGGUGGCUGCAGUCCCUGAGCCUGCAGAGACAGAGAGAGCCCCGGCCCGAGGGGCCUUUGGCCCCUUGUCCUGAAUUUGGGGUGAGCCUGGGAGCGUGUGGAGGAUGCUGGAAUUGGCUCUCUGGGUGUGUGCUGAGCUCUGGCUGCAGGGGACUGUCAGGCCUUGGUGGCUGUGAGCACAAAGAAUGUCCAUCCUGAGGUAAACUGGGGUAAUCAGCAGUGGACACGUAGGGAAAGUUUUGGGGGGAAAUGUCUGAGGUAAUCUCCAUGUUAGAGAAUGAAUAUUGAGAGGUGAACAGGAGGUACUCAGUGGUGGACCUGUAGGGGAAAUUGUGGGGGUCAAAUCUGUGGCAAUGUGCAGCAGAGGGAAGGAACAUUUUGGAAUCAAGUGAGGCAGUCAGUAGGGGAGAGGCUCAGGAAUUUCUGAGGGUCAAACUGGAGCAAAUCUGCAGGGCAGAGAAUGAAUAUUUGGAGGUCCAACAGAGGUAACCAGGAGUGUGCAGGUAGG
Molecule: long non-coding RNA, 701 nt
Organism: Pseudopipra pipra
Lineage: Eukaryota; Metazoa; Chordata; Aves; Passeriformes; Pipridae
Exons: 3
Source: RefSeq, a predicted model, not a curated record